Molecule: long non-coding RNA, 733 nt
Filed under: Salmo salar (Atlantic salmon)
Lineage: Eukaryota; Metazoa; Chordata; Actinopteri; Salmoniformes; Salmonidae
Description: lncRNA (ENSSSAG00000102704.1, ENSSSAG00075063364.1)
Source: RNAcentral
UGCAAGACAAUUAUGAAAAAUACAAGCAAUCCAAUACUUGAGUAGCUUGGAAUCUGACCUAGGCUAGUUAUUAGGGGGAAAAUUACCAAUUGAUCACAAACCAUAGACACAGGCUAAAUGUGGCCAUAUUCUUAUAUACAAGAGUAUGUGGACACCCCGUCAAAUGAGUGGAUUUGGCUAUUUCAGCCCCACCUGUUGCUGACAAUUGUAUAAAAUCGAGCACACAGCCAUGCAAUCGCCAUAGUUAAACAUUGGUAGUAGAAUGGCCUUACUGAUGAGAUCAGUGACUUUCAAAGUGGCACUGUCUGUCAUAGGAUGCCACCUUUCCAACAAGGCAAUUCAUCAAAUUUCUGCCCUGUUAGAGCUGCCCCGGUCAACUUCACUGUUAUUGUGAAGUGGAAACGUCUAGGAGCAACUGAACAUGGACAAGGCGCAUGAGAAAAAGGACAGCCACCGGAGGAGAAUCAAGGGGACCAAGUGCUUUGACAUCCAGGCGAAUGACUUGGCUUGGAAGAAGGACGAAAGGAAGACUCGUGGUGGACCGCAUCGCCAUGCUGUCAGCAGUACCAACACUGGCCCAGGGGUUUCUCCAAAUAGUCAAUCUCACGGCUAACCACUGGGUUACGUUCAGUAACCGCCAUUUCCAGGACCUAGGGGGUUCUAACACCCAGAUGUGGAUCCACCUGAUGUCCUCCAUUACAAACAUCCUCCAACUUUUCAUUACAUCAGCUAC